RNAcentral lists this long non-coding RNA (1302 nucleotides) under Homo sapiens (human). Its description in RNAcentral is "non-protein coding lnc-PANO1-1:9". The record is from RNAcentral. Lineage: Eukaryota; Metazoa; Chordata; Mammalia; Primates; Hominidae.
GCUGGAAGCCAGGCUUGGCCCUCACGCUGGCGGCAAGUCUAAUGCGUGUGUGUGCACCUGUGUCCACAGGUGGUGUGCCCCCUAGUGUACCCUUGGGUCCCCACCGUAGUCCAAGGUGUCAUGUCUGUGUGUGGGCAUCGCUGGUUCCCGGCACAGCCAAUCCUGGGAAAGUGCAUGUCCCUCAUGGCAUUCGGAGUCAGGGUGGCCAGCCAGGGCCCCACCAGCAAGCCAUAGCAUCAGCCCAAGGGCAGCAGCCAGCCAGGAGGCAGGAACCGCACCCGAAGUUCCUAGGCGUCCCGAGUCUCCUGUGGGCAAGAUCACCCUUGUACCCUCACUGCUGAGCCCUGGAGUGUGGGUGCCCCCAGGUGGUCUGUUGCUGCUCCGCUACUCCGCAGCAGCCCCCAACCCUGUGUGCCCACCCAGGGUGCCGCCAUCUCCUCCCCUGCAAGAGGCCAGCCUCUGCUCCGCGCCUCUCUAUCCCCAGCAGGUGGGAAAGGGUGCUUCCAGGGUACUGCUAUCUCCCCCGCUCCAAGAGGCCAGCCUCUGCUCCCCGCCUCUCUACCCCUGGCUGGUGGGAAAGGGUGCUCCUCAGGCCCUGUUUAGGGCUGACAUUGGGCCAGGUGACAGGACACCUGGGCAUGAUUGGGCAGCUAUUGGGGAGCCAUGGGCAGAGCACCUGAGGUCUGCAGUCAGCAGCCCAGUCCGGGUGAUGCCUCCUGGGAAGGGGCCCAGACUUGGGGGUAACGGCGUCACUGAUGUGGGUCCCUGGCCCCACUGUGGGGUGUCCAGGGUUGUGCCUAUUGGACCGCCCGCCUCACCAUCCCACGCUACUGAGCCUCCUUCCUCAGCCAUUGUCCAGCUUCGUGUCAAGUCCUGGCGUGGGGCUCACCGCCUGCCCCUUGACCGUGGAGUUCGGACGCGUCUCACAGUGAGUGCCCCAGCAGAGCAGGGUUGGGUGCUGAGCAUCAGCAGCUCUGCCAGAGCAAGUGGCAAUUCCCUGGAACCUGGGGUCUUGCCUUUGUUUGGAGACCGAGAGACUCACAGUGUGGGAGGGUCACAGGACAUGUCAUCAGCAGUGAAAAGGUUUUGUUCCGUUUCCUGCCUUCAGAACUUGCACGUGCUGGAAUCCAAGGAUGGGUGGGAGAGGGGCCGUUCCUGGAGAUGUCUGCCCUUCGGGGCUGGCCCAUGCCACAGGACCUCCCAUCACCCCUGCUGCCUUGGUUGGUGAAUUCGGGGCAUGCUGAGCCUUUCCCUUGCAGCCUUUGCACUUGCUACUCUUCCCUCCGCUUAUCAAACUCCUAA